Molecule: small RNA, 84 nt
Filed under: Marmota monax (woodchuck)
Lineage: Eukaryota; Metazoa; Chordata; Mammalia; Rodentia; Sciuridae
Source: RNAcentral
GCCAGGUGUGGUGGUGCAUGCCUGUAAUCUCAGCAGCUCCAGAGGCUGAGGCUGGAGAAUCUGCAAGUUCGAGACCAGCCUUAG